This is a long non-coding RNA of Oncorhynchus keta (chum salmon), 647 nucleotides long. RefSeq lists it as uncharacterized. The record is from RefSeq and is a predicted model, not a curated record. NCBI's taxonomy places the organism in Eukaryota, Metazoa, Chordata, Actinopteri, Salmoniformes, Salmonidae. The transcript is spliced from 3 exons.
GUUCUGAUGAUAUGAAGCGGGAGGAUGAGGGCCUAGUAUGUGAAUGUUCUGUAGUGGGAAGACAUAGGAAGAACAGAGAUAAUGAUACUGGAAGCAGAGGCGCAUGUAGUAUAGUAACUAGAGGCCCAAGACCUUAAUCUGAGGCCAGUAACAUCAACAGUGAGGACAAACGCAGCCUGUCUCUCUCCUUCCACACUGAGUAGGAACCUACAGUCACUGGGUCCUGAUUGUGACAGUGGAGCCCAGUUUGCACUGCAGGAUCCAGAGAUGGCAUCAGUGAAGCUGGAAGACUGCAGUCAAACACUGGAGCUGAAUGUCAACCUUAAAGAUGAAGAAGAGGAGGAGAAGAUUAGGACAACUGUUAGUCAUGGAGACCAUGUUGAGACAUUCUCUACAUCCAGAGAGCAUCAGCAGGAAGAUCAGAGAGCUAAGAGGUCUCAUCACUGCCCACAUUGUGAAGACAUUUUCCCAUUUCAAUCAAAGCUAAAAAUACACCUAAAAAUACACACAGGAGAGAAGCCUUACUCCUGCUCUGACUGUGGAAAAUGCUUCAAAACAUCAACUCAGCUAAAAGUUCAUCAGAAGACACACACAGGAGAGAAGCCUUAUUCCUGCUCUGACUGUGGAAAACGUUUUAAAACAUCAAC